Nicotiana tabacum (common tobacco) is the source of this 1016-nucleotide non-coding RNA. The record is from RefSeq and is a predicted model, not a curated record. Lineage: Eukaryota; Viridiplantae; Streptophyta; Magnoliopsida; Solanales; Solanaceae.
ACCAUUUUCUUCUCAAUUUCUCCGUAGGUAUUGCUCAAGGCCAGCCAUACCCAGCUUAUCUUCUUCUAUUCUUGUAAAAAUUCUACAAUUGAUUUUGUAAAUCAAAGCUGGAAUGUACCUGGUGUUAGCAUUUUUAUGAUUGGGUCUUGGGCUUUGAUUGAUUAUAUUUAUCUUUGAUUUCUGCCGAAAUGUCCACAAACGAAGAUGUUGCAUCGCGUCGAGCUGAAGAGGCCAAGGAACAACGACGACGUGAUAGAAAUCUACGACGUCGCACUAGAUAUGCACAAAUGUCACCUGAAAGGAAACAAUCAUUUUUGCUGAUACUGCAAGCUAAGAGAGCUGAAUCAAAAAAGCGGCGACUUAAUCCUCAUUCAAGUAAUACACUAUCCUUAAUGGAAACUGGUACUCAACCUUAAAGAUAGAGUGCUCUUACAGUUGGUGAUCGUCCGUUAGAUUCAAAAAAAGGUAGAAAAGUAUAUUGUUCUCUAACUUAUCAAAGACAUUAGAUAUACAAACAAUGUUGAAUGCGCAUAUAUAAGUAUAUAGUGAUGAAUACAUCGAUCCACAAUCAUUAAAGUGACUUUUUAGAUUCUUUCAAUUGUUAUGUCAUGCUUCUAAAGCUACAAAUAUGCCAGUUAUUAUAGAUAAAGGAAAUAAUAUGAUUGAUUGCAUGUCCAUCUUUGAAGUAUGUAAGCGUCCAAAAAUAAAACUAUAAAUGUUCCCACUAUACAAAUUACUUUACUGAUUAGUUAUACAUGCGUAAACAUUAAACACUGCAAUAUCAGGAUCAACUUCAGGUACAUGUAAUGCAGGAAUUUCUUCAACUCCAGCAGCUACUGCACAUAGAGGUAAAAUAAAUUUCGAAGUCGAAUUGCAGAAUGAUGACUUGUUGCUAAAAAAUUACGUACAUUUUAAAGAAGUUCCGGAUUGUAAAUUUUGUGGAUCAAAAAGGUUCCAAUAUGAACCACCAAAAUUCUGUUGUGGUAGCGGAUCAAUAAAAUUGACUUCUCAUCAAA